Molecule: ribosomal RNA, 468 nt
Filed under: uncultured bacterium
Lineage: Bacteria
Description: partial 16S ribosomal RNA
Rfam family: Bacterial small subunit ribosomal RNA
Source: RNAcentral
GACGAACGCUGGCGGCGUGCUUAACACAUGCAAGUCGAACGGAAAGGCCCUGCUUUUGUGGGGUGCUCGAGUGGCGAACGGGUGAGUAACACGUGAGUAACCUGCCCUUGACUUUGGGAUAACUUCAGGAAACUGGGGCUAAUACCGGAUAGGAGCUCCUGCUCCAUGGGGGGGGUUGGAAAGUUUCGGCGGUUGGGGAUGGACUCGCGGCUUAUCAGCUUGUUGGUGGGGUAGUGGCUGACCAAGGCUUUGACGGGUAGCCGGCCUGAGAGGGUGACCGGCCACAAUGGGACUGCGAUACGGCCCAGACUCCUACGGGAGGCAGCAGUGGGGAAUAUGGCACAAUGGGCGGAAGCCUGAUGCAGCAACGCCGCGUGCGGGAUGACGUCCUUCGGGUUGUAAACCGCUUUCGCCUGUGACGAAGCGUGAGUGACGGUAAUGGGUAAAGAAGCACCGGCUAACUACGUG